Molecule: transfer RNA, 72 nt
Filed under: Mus musculus (house mouse)
Lineage: Eukaryota; Metazoa; Chordata; Mammalia; Rodentia; Muridae
Rfam family: tRNA
About the family: Transfer RNA (tRNA) molecules are approximately 80 nucleotides in length.
Source: Rfam by way of RNAcentral
GGAGAUGUAGCUCAGAGGUGGAGCUCUUGCCUCGCACAUGCAAGGGCCUGGGUUCAAGUCCCAGCAGUAUUA